Molecule: small nuclear RNA, 97 nt
Filed under: Castor canadensis (American beaver)
Lineage: Eukaryota; Metazoa; Chordata; Mammalia; Rodentia; Castoridae
Source: RNAcentral
GUGUUCACUUCAUCAGCAUAUUUACUACAAUUGCAAUGAUACAGAGAAGAUUAGCAUGGCCCCUGCACAAGGAUGACAUGAAUUUUUUUUUAAUUUU